This 494-nucleotide ribosomal RNA is filed under the name uncultured bacterium. RNAcentral describes it as "bacterial SSU rRNA". It matches the Rfam family "Bacterial small subunit ribosomal RNA", at positions 29 to 518 of the family's 1533-position model. The record is from RNAcentral.
AUGAACGCUAGCGGCAGGCCUAACACAUGCAAGUCAGGGGCAGCACAAGGAGCAAUCUGAGGUGGCGACCGGCGCACGGGUGAGUAACACGUAUGCAACCUGCCUGUAAGCGGGGAAUAACCCGUUGAAAGACGGACUAAUACCGCAUAAUACUAAAUUACUGCAUGGUAAUUUAUUUAAACAUUUAUGGCUUACAGAUGGGCAUGCGCAUGAUUAGCUAGUUGGAGAGGUAACGGCUCCCCAAGGCAACGAUCAUUAGGGGUUCUGAGAGGAAGGUCCCCCACACUGGUACUGAGACACGGACCAGACUCCUACGGGAGGCAGCAGUGAGGAAUAUUGGUCAAUGGACGAGAGUCUGAACCAGCCAAGUCGCGUGCAGGAAGAAUGUCCCUAUGGAUUGUAAACUGCUUUUGCAGGGGAAUAAAGUGCAUCACGUGUGAUGUUUUGUAUGUACUCUGCGAAUAAGGAUCGGCUAACUCCGUGCCAGCCGCCGC